This 65-nucleotide ribosomal RNA is filed under the name Cohnella luojiensis. Its description in RNAcentral is "Bacterial small subunit ribosomal RNA". It matches the Rfam family "Bacterial small subunit ribosomal RNA", at positions 1 to 65 of the family's 1533-position model. The record is from Rfam by way of RNAcentral. Lineage: Bacteria; Bacillati; Bacillota; Bacilli; Caryophanales; Paenibacillaceae. RNAcentral also lists the same sequence under 7 other names.
AUUAUGGAGAGUUUGAUCCUGGCUCAGGACGAACGCUGGCGGCGUGCCUAAUACAUGCAAGUCGA